RNAcentral lists this ribosomal RNA (475 nucleotides) under uncultured Caldilineaceae bacterium. Its description in RNAcentral is "bacterial SSU rRNA". It matches the Rfam family "Bacterial small subunit ribosomal RNA", at positions 28 to 505 of the family's 1533-position model. The record is from RNAcentral. Lineage: Bacteria; Bacillati; Chloroflexota; Caldilineae; Caldilineales; Caldilineaceae.
GAUGAACGCUGGCGGCGUGCCUAACACAUGCAAGUCGAACGUGAAGGCCUAGAUGAUUACUUCGGUUUGAUUCUUGGUUGGAAAGUGGCGAACGGGUGAGUAACACGUGGGUAAUCUGCCUCGAAGUGGGGGAUAACUAUUGGAAACGAUAGCUAAUACCGCAUAGUCUUGUUUACAUGGGAAUGUAGAUGAGUAAAGCUCCGGCGCUUCGAGAGGAGCCUGCGUCCAAUUAGCUAGUUGGUGGGGUAAAGGCCCACCAAGGCGACGAUUGGUAGCUGGUCUGAGAGGACGAUCAGUCACACGGGAACUGAGACACGGUCCCGACUCCUACGGGGGGCAGCAGUGAGGAAUAUUGCACAAUGGGGGCAACCCUGAUGCAGCAACGCCGCGUGGAGGAUGAAGGCUUCGGUCGUAAACUCCUUUUCUGGGGGAAGAGAACGGACGGUACCCCAGGAAUAAGUCACGGCUAACUACG